Molecule: long non-coding RNA, 6473 nt
Filed under: Sus scrofa (pig)
Lineage: Eukaryota; Metazoa; Chordata; Mammalia; Artiodactyla; Suidae
Description: lncRNA (ENSSSCG00030004539.1)
Source: RNAcentral
UUUUUUUUUUUUCUUUUUUUAAAUAGGUCCUUCCUUUCUCCUUUCUGUUGCAUGAGCACUGUUCUAUUUCUAGAUGACUGAUUUCCUAUCAAAACUAAUCCUUCUAGAAUCUCUUUCCUAUAGGAUUUGCACUUGCCAACUAAUGGAUGAGAAGUAGCCAGAUAAAGGAAUCACACUACGGGUUCAUAUCUGAGCUCUUAAUGAGCUACUACUGUCACGGCACAAUGCUCUUUUACUGAGAUUUCAAGGGAAAAAUUCAGGCUUCAAGGCAGGAGGAAGAGGGGGUAUUGCUGAUAAAGACAUCUUAGGAUCUUGGUAUCUUCUAGAUCAUGGAAGUGUUGGUGAUCCAGUCCAGGCGUGACUGCUGAUCCUGAUGCCAAGGUGCAUGCACACCCUCAGCACCUAAUGCUGAGUCCUGAGUCCUUCUAUCCCACCUCAUGGCCUGGAAGGAAAUAAUGUUUUGCAUUAAAUUAUAACCAGCAUUAGACAUACAAAGUCUGUCUGCACUGGAUUGUUUGAUCAAAUGUAUACUAGGGUGACAUUCAGAAAUAUAAUCAACUGGUCUGGUGAAGGUACUGACCAAUCAGAUCCAGGCUGCUGAGGAAGGGGCUCCUUGGGCUACAGUGGGCCUGUGUCUUAGAGCCUUUGUUGGCCCUGUGAUGAUCAAUGGUGGGUGAGUUGCAGGUGACAGGAAAUGAAAGGUCAGAAGUGGGACAAGUGCAGAUGUUGAAGGAGGUCCCCAGUGGAAGGAAUGAGAAACACAAGCCUUCCUCAUGCCACGAGUGGAGUGGUGGGCUGUGGUGCCUGGGGAAUCACAGUGUCAGCCUUCUUUUGGCUUUUUUGUGUGUAUGUAAAAUCUGGUUAGCUAUUUCUAGGUCAUUCUUGCAGGUGGAAAGGCAUAGCCCACAACAGUAGGUAAGAUGAACUUGUGCCAUUGCCUUACCUAAGAGUGAGAGCGAGAUGCAAAAUGAUGGCUAACACAGGCUGACUCAAUAUAUACAACCUUUGUGCACUGAAAGAAAACAGAGGCACUUCCUUCUGCCCCUGACUACCUUCUGUAUACACUGUCUACUCUGUUAAUCUCAGGGCCUGUCGAAACAUGGCUCUUUGGUAAGAGCAUCAUUUCUUUGGACCCUAGCAGUUUUUCUGGAAAGGAUGGUAGUCAGGGGAUCGAGGAGGAACCCAUAUGAGCUUCCAAGGUCAAGUACAGAUGAGCCAGGUAGGGAAUGUGUCAGCUCAAGGGCAGAGUCACAUCUCCUCCAGGAAACCAUUUUUAGUUACUCCGGUUUCCCUGGACCUCUGAGUUUUCUGAACUUAUAGUCACUUUUGUAUAGGAAGGCAAUUAGAAUCAUCUAUAGAGUCGUUAAAGAUUCAGGAGGUCCAGGAUAGGAUGGAAACAAUUGUAUUUUUUUAAAAUGGUCGUACUAGGGGUAUGGAAAUUCCCAGGCUGGGGACUGAAUCCCAGCUUCAGCUGCGACCCGAGCUACUGCAGUUAGAUUCUCAACCCCUGUGCCACAGCAGGACUCCAACAAUUGUAUUUUUUUCCAAGGCACUUAUGUGUAAUUCUGAUAAAUGCUCUUUGUUGAGAAACAUUGUACCACAUUUAUAAGAGGUGCUUGGGAAUAGAACUUGCAAAAUGGAGCCCACAGAAGAAAUCUAGUUCCCAAAUGAGCUUUGUUUGGCUAGCAUGGGGUUAAAAAACCCUGAAAUUGAAUACUUUUAGGUGGGGGUGUGCCAUCUUCAAUUUGCUGCCAUGUCCCACUCUUUCGUAUUGCCAUGUAAUCAGGUGCUUGCCCUCUUUUCGCUGCCUGUGACUGAUGGGCACAUCACAUCUGGGUGAUGGCAUCCCUCACUUGGGCACAUUGGGAGGAACCCCACUUAUUCCAGGGGAGAUGCCCUAGCUCUGAGUUGUUUCUGAGGGUCCUUUUCAGUACUGACCUCAGAAUAACUUCAUACCACAAGCAAGAAAAAUCAGUUUCCUCACUCUGUAGCCAUGUAAUAAUUAUUUUUAUUUUAUUUUAUUUUAUUUAUUUUAUUUUCCCACUGUACAGCAAGGGGAUCAAGCUAUCCUUACAUGUAUACAUUACGAUUACAUUUUUUUUCCCCACCCUUUGUUCUGACACCUUCAAGUUUCACAAGAUAUUUCUGAAAAGGAAUAAAAUUUUACCUGAAGUUGACAUUUACCAUCUUUGAACUCAUGGAUUUGAGAUGAAGAUUCCAGAGUUAGCUAGCUCUAUUUCCACGAAGUCACAGAGGAAAGGCUUUUUACCCAUUUGUUCUUUUGAAGGGAAAUGUGAAUUCUGCAGAAGUGACUUCUGUCAACUCAAUACUAAUAGAGUUGCUAUGGAGACUUUGUAAACCAUUAAGAGCCCAGGGCUUGGGCACUGUCUAGCCUAGCACUGCCCAAUAGAAAUAUAAUGUGAGUCAAAAAUAAAAUUAAUAUAUUUAAUUUAAAAUUUUCUAAUCUCAUACAACUCAACAGCAAAAAAGCAAACAACCCAUUUGAGAAAUGGUCAGAAGACCUGAAUAGAUAUUUCUCCAAAGAAGACGUAGGAUGGCCUACAGGCAUAUGAAAAAAUGCUCAACAUCACUAAUUAUCAGAGAAAGGCAAAUCAAAACUACAAUGAGCUAACACCUCACACCAGUCAGAAUGGCCAUCAUUAACAAGUCAGCAAAUAACAAAUGCUGGAGAGGGUGUGGAGAAAAGAGAACCUCCCUACACUAUUGGUGGGAAUGUAAAUUGGUACAACAACUAUGGAAAACAGUAUGGUGGUACCUCAGAAAACUAAAUAUAGAACUACUAUAUGACCCAGCAAUCCCACUAUUGGGCAUAUAUCUGGACAAAACUUUCCUUGAAAAAGACACAUGCACCCGUAUGUUCAUUCACAAUAGUCAAGACAUGGAAACAACUUAAAUGUCCAAUGACAGAUUAAGAAAACAUGGUACAUAUACACAAUGGAAUACUAUUCAGCCAUAAAAAGAAUAAAAUAAUGACAUUUGCAGCAACAUGGAUGGAACUAGAGACUCUCAUACUAAGUGAAGUGACUCAAAAAGAGAAAGACAAAUGCUGUGUGAUAUAACAUAUCUGGAAUCUAAUAUACAGCACAAAUGAACUUAUCUACAGAAAAGAAACAAACUCAUGGACAUGGAGAAUAGAUUUGCGGUUGUCAAGGGGGAGGGGGAGGGAGUGGGAUGGACUGGGAGUUUGGAUUUAGCAGAUGCAAACUAUUGCAUUUGGAGUGGAUAGGCAAUGAGAGCCUGCCGUCUAGCACAGGGAACUAUAUACAAUCACUUGUGAUAGAACAGGAUAGAGGAUAAUGUGAAAAAAAGGAUAUGUAUAACAGGGUCAUUUUGCUAUACAGCAAAAAUCGACAGAACAUUGUAAAUCAACUAUAAUAAAAAUCUCAAAGUAAAAUAAAAAAUAAAAAAUUUCUAGUGCUCACAUUAAAAAAAUUUUGAAUGUAAAAUUAAUACAAUAAUAUACUGUAUUUAAUUCAAUGUAUCCAAAGUAUUGUCAUCUCAACAUUUAACCAAUAUACAAAAUUAUCAAAAUAUUUUAUUUUUUGUCCUUCAUGUUUGAAUCCAGUGUGUGCUUUAUACUUAAAGCCCAGCUCAGUUUGGACUAGCUUUAUUUCAAGUGCUGUGUGUGGCUAGUUGCUGUCAGAGCAACUCUUGUUUAGAGGCCAGCCUGAGGUCUUGGAAUGUGGAAUGGCCUCCUUCGGAUUGGCCCCUCCCAUGAUCAGCCUGUGUGUGCUCUUGUUGACCUAAGACGGUCUUGCUCUUGGGUCACUAACUCACGUCCUGGAUGCUAUUGCUUUCUUGUUCUGAUGAACAACUUUAGCCAGGUUUCCUAGUACUGCACCCACUUUCCUCUGGGCUUCACUUCUUCCGCAUCAAGUCCUUGCAUGUCACUACACCAUAAUUCAAAGCUUCUAUGGGCUGGGAUCCCACGGACCUGACCCAAACAGGAAACUAGCUUUCUCUUUGUUUAUUUGGAAACAUGAAGCAGAAAAUGUCGGACACUUGUUUUCAGUGCUUCAUUGAGCUGAAACUGUCGUAACACUCAGCUCUUUCCAGUGGGGCUUUCCAACAUGGAAUGAUUUAGAGGAUUCCACUGCUAGAUCAAGGGGACUGACUAGAACAUGAACGGACCCUAAGCUUUCCUUGCUCCGAUUGUUAUCAUUGGCUGACUCAUCCUUUGUUUAGAAUCCUGUUAGUCAGAGGCUAUAAAACCUUGUAUGAGGUUGGGGUAUCUAAAAUAUGCUGGGAAUAUUUCUGUAAGUGUUUCACAGAGUAUUGCUGUGUGAAAGGUCUCAGUUUAGGUCUCUUUUCCAAAUCUUUGUGAAUUCCAUAAUAGACAGUCUAGUUGGUCACCCACCACAGGCUCUCUCCAGUGUGGCCUGGGCACAUAGGUGCUGUAUACUGUCUGGUGGCACCAUAUACCAUUGUGGCAGGCGUGUUGGUGCCUGUCCAACCACCAUUCCUUCUGUUUUUGCCAUGAUAGGGCAGAGCACACUUGCAAUAAUAGAGGCAUGCCAGAUGCAUGCUUUCCCAGACUCCUUUGUUACCAGGAAUGACCAUGUGACCCAGUUCUGCCAAAAGACACAAGCGAAAGUAUUUUUGGAGAGUUUCUGGGAAAGAUUUUUUCUCCCUGAUAAGAAGAGAGAGCCAUGAGAAAAUGACAGUCCUGCCAUUCUAGUUGCCUCCUUCUUCCUGAUGUGGUUGUGAUGUUUGCAAAUAUCUAUUUUGGAACCAUGACAUAACAAAACUGAAGAUGAAAGUGAAGCCUUCUAAGGAUGCUGAGAAUGAUGAUGGGUGGAAAGAGAUUGCCUCUUUGAUGACAUCAUUGAGUAGCUGCACUGAAAUUGGAACAGUACUUCCUAAUUUUAGGAACAAAACUACUGUUGUUUUAACCAUUUUUUUUUUUAAGUCGGGUAGUCUGUUUCUGGCAGCCAAAAGCAUGCUGACUGGUAUGGAUGCCUGAUAUUCAAUGAUCUCUUUUUUUUUUCUUUUUGGUUUGUUUUUGGCUGCAUCCACAGCAUGAAGAAGUUCCUGUGUCAGAGAAUGAAUCCGUGACAUAGCAGUGACUCAAGCCUCUGCAGUGACAAUGCUGGAUCCUUAACCUGCUGAGCCUCACAGGAAUUCCCUUAAUUAUAUGUUUUUGUUUUCUGUUUCUUGGAAAGAAGUGGUCACCAGAAUAUUUUUCCCUCAAACUUGUCACCUGGUUAACUCUCAUCCUCAUCACCACACUCCUCCAUCUACUCAUUUGCUUGUUAGUUCACCUGUUAAGGUUCUUGUGAGGGAAGAAAUCAUGACUGUCUGGGGAGCUAUGGUAGUCCCAGUUCCUGUUAUGUAAUGUCAUUCAGCAAAUAUUUACCAAUUGAUGAACGUGGGGGUGGCAGUCUAUGGUAGAAUUCUAGGUAGAAUCUCUACAGUGUGGCUGUCGCCUAGAGGUGAGUGCAUGCAGCUGGGGCUGGCGCUGUGUUUCUGGCUUGUGAGGUUGGCUAAAGGGUGCUGCCUCUAUCAUGAGUCAACAUGGGAGGGAAAGCAGAAUAGUUUAAAGAGCUGAGCUUUGUCCUGGAUGUGUUGAAAUUGAGGGGGUACUUUUGGAAGGGUCCCUGAAAACAGUUGGAUAUAGGGUCUGGAUUGGAGCUUGAGAAAGUGGGGUUUGUCCAGGAAGAGUGUGGCGCAUGAGAAAAGAAAGACUCCCAUCUCACUGUGGGGCACAGCCAUCCGUCUUGCCACCCAAGCCUGAAAUCGGGAAGUCACCCAUGCCACCGCCCUCUCCCCGACCUCACAUUCAAUCUACCUCCAAGUCCUGAGGAUUCUACCUCCUCUCUCUCAGACCCAUGAAUGUCUGUCCAUUCCCCCUGCCACCACUGGAGUCCCACCACUGGAAUCCCACCUCUCUCCGGCACCGUUGGCCUUCUCAUGGUUUCCUGAGUCCACUCUGAUGCUCUUUCUCUCACUGUUCCAGCCACUCCCUCUUUGGAAGCACCAGCGGCCUUCCUGUCUCAAGGCUCGAAGCCCACGAGGUUCCUUCCACCAAACAACUUUGCUCCCUCCAUCCUCCGCCUCCAUCCACCUGCUCACUUCCAGUCCAUUUUUUGUGUCUCAGCCUAACUCCAUGUCCUCAGGGAGGCCCUCUCUGACUCCUCCCUUCCCUACCCACCUUUGUUGGAAUACCAUGGGUGAUUUGGGUCUUGAUGACAUGUAUUGUCAAAUAAAACUUUAAAAGACUUAUGUUAUCAAAAUUAAAAUAUUAAUUAAAAUGAGAAAUAUCACUAUCAAGGAUCUUGAGUCUGGACAAGUAUAAUUUUUCCCAUAGAAGGCAAAUCUACAUAGGAAGUCAAAUAGCUUGUGUGUACAGGAUUAGAAAAGGGCACUUGCUGCUUGAUCUAAAUGAUUGCGUUAUCUAAACUGUGACACCCCAGUGCAUCCAUUUUUACCACAGACAUCUCCCUCCACACCUG